CAGCAGCCGCGGUAAUACAGAGGGUGCAAGCGUUAAUCGGAAUUACUGGGCGUAAAGCGCGCGUAGGUGGUUUGUUAAGUUGGAUGUGAAAGCCCCGGGCUCAACCUGGGAACUGCAUCCAAAACUGGCAAGCUAGAGUACGGUAGAGGGUGGUGGAAUUUCCUGUGUAGCGGUGAAAUGCGUAGAUAUAGGAAGGAACACCAGUGGCGAAGGCGACCACCUGGACUGAUACUGACACUGAGGUGCGAAAGCGUGGGGAGCAAACAGGAUUAGAUACCCCAGUAGUCCCUGUCUUUUAUCC
RNAcentral lists this ribosomal RNA (301 nucleotides) under uncultured bacterium. RNAcentral describes it as "partial 16S ribosomal RNA". It matches the Rfam family "Bacterial small subunit ribosomal RNA", at positions 509 to 809 of the family's 1533-position model. The record is from RNAcentral.